Molecule: ribosomal RNA, 481 nt
Filed under: uncultured bacterium
Lineage: Bacteria
Description: bacterial SSU rRNA
Rfam family: Bacterial small subunit ribosomal RNA
Source: RNAcentral
UUCUGGCUCAGGACGAACGCUGGCGGCGUGCUUCAUACAUGCAAGUCGAACGAUAAGGCACCUUCGGGUGUACAUAAGUGGCGGACGGGUGAGUAAUAUGUAGAGAAUCUGCCCUAGAGAGUGGGACAACAGUUGGAAACGACUGCUAAUACCGCAUAUGAGCGUACCUGAAAUGGUAUUCUUGAAAACUCCGGUGCUCUGGGAUGAGUCUGCAUCUGAUUAGCUAGUUGGGGGUGUAAUGGACCACCAAGGCGACGAUCAGUAGCUGGUUUGAGAGGAUGAUCAGCCACAAUGGGACUGAGACACGGCCCAUACUCCUACGGGAGGCAGCAGUAGGGAAUUUUGCGCAAUGGGGGAAACCCUGACGCCAGCAACGCCGCGUGACCGAUGAAGCCCUUCGGGGUGUAAAGGUCUGUCAGUGGGGACGAAUAUUGACGGUACCCACAGAGGAAGCAUCGGCUAACUCCGUGCCAGCCGCCGC